CUUCUCGACCGGUCCGCGAAAUAUUGUCUGACAUGAAACCGGUCCGUGAGGUAAAAAAGCUUGGGGACCGCUGGGCUGAUCCACAGCGUGUAUGUAUGUGCCUCCUGGAUCCUGAUUGGUAUCGCUGCUGCAGCCGCAAGGCACUGAUUGGAUGCUCACAGACCGUAAUACAGCGCAGAUGAACAUGAUUCAGACUACGCCGUUUAUAUGUUCAACAAUAGGAAACGUAGUCUUAGCUGUUUUAAAAUUACACCAAGUUUAUUUCGGAUUAUUCCAACGGAAGAAUACAAGGCGCAGGGAACUUUGAGGUGCGUAAACGCCACUUAUAGGUGCGUAAACGCUAUUUAUAGGUGCGUAAACGCUAUUUCCAAAUUCUAGAGGUGCGUAAACGGCGUUUACCCUCCACUACAGCCCUGGUCACAAUGUAACUACUGAGGACAUUGUAGCUGAUGUCUCUCUGUCAGCAGCUCAAAAACAAAAUCUCAACUGAUCAUACAACUGAAAGCAGUAUUCCUGCACUGCUAUACUCUUCAAGUUAGACAGAAAUGGUUUCAUUUAGUCUGCCGGCAACUGUUAUAGCCACUUGUCUUGCCCUCAGGUAAUCUGUUUCACAGCCCACGGGGACGAGAUUGUGUCAAGUACCUUGUCACUCAACCUUUAAAUUUAGAUGACAUGACUUUGCUUGUGGCUACGCCUCAAGUUCAUCAGCAUAACAUUUAAUUCUGAAUCCAACUUAAAUAUUGUACAAAGAGGUUAGAAUGGGAGUAGGUGUAUUCCAUUUGUUAUAUGUGUAUGUGUAUAUGUAUGUGUAUAUGCAUGUAUGUAUGUAUGUGUAUAUGCAUGUAUGUAUGUAUGUAUGUGUAUAUGUAUGUAUGUAUGUAUGUGUAUAUGCAUGUAUGUAUGUAUGUGUAUAUGCAUGUAUGUAUGUAUGUGUAUAUGCAUGUAUGUAUGUAUGUGUAUAUGCAUGUAUAUAUGUAUGUGUAUAUGCAUGUAUAUAUGUACGUGUAUAUGCAUGUAUAUGUAUAUACAUAUUGAUCAUAGUACUACUACUAAAAUCUUCUUCAACGUGGCUGUCCUCUUGAAUUUGCCAAAUCAAUGUAUGUCUAUUUUCUCAGCCGGCUGCGACCAAUAUCAGUUUUUUUACUCUCAUGGUCAACAUAAAUUAAACACCAUAAUCAUGAAAUAUCUAAAACAUUAUACACUAUAAUUCAAAGGAAUGCAUUGCGAUAGAAGAUCAGGAGUGUGUGUUUGUUGACACCAUCUGUGUGUCCACUUAUGUCAAAGUGAAUAUUCGAUUUGCUCUCCCUUUAAUUCAGAAUGCCUGAUCAAUAUUUCCUAACGCUAGAGCUACCAAGACAUCACAAGUUAACCCCUUGUGGCCUCAGGGACCUCAGUAAAGUAUCCGGCCCUCUGACACCUCCUGCUGUGCGGUAGUGAGAAACAGGUACACACUUUCAGACCAUCGCACAAGUGGAAACAGUUGGGUACUGCCAGAUCCUUGUCACAAGGGCCGAUGUGUGUGUUAUGUUGAUUGCAUUACCAUAUUUUAAAAAGAGCUUGUGACAGCAGAAGGCAUCCUACUUGACACGCUUCCUUCCCUAGGCCCAUAGAAACAGCUGUUGAAAUAACCCAGACGUGGGUCGUGAGGCCCCGCUGGCAAAUGCACCCAGCUGAGAAUACACACUUUGUUUAUUUCAUGCAACGUCUCCAGGGGGUGCACCAUACCUUUUAAAACAAGUGAGAUCACUGAACUCGGGAAUUAUGGAUUCAGUUUGUUUAAUCUCUAGUUUUGGGCUAGAGACAAAAGACAGAAUGUCUCACUAGAAUGAGCUGCAGAGCAAUUUAUCAAACUGUCACAUGCGAUAUGACGAUGACAUGUUUCUUAUGUAACAACCGCUGAAGACAUUCAAAACUUUAUCAAGCGAAUUAUUUUGUUGCAUUUCUAACCCAUUUUGUGAAGACAGUGGGAGCUAUUUAAUUGUUUUAGUUGAGGCGAACCUUGAGGGUCCGCGGUGCUUGUCAAGUAAAUUAAGGAUGCUCUUUGCUUAGGGGGGGAGGGGGGGUCUGACUGCUGUGAAUGGAUGAACCGGUUGAUAUGGAGUGCAACGGAGAAGCACAGCGCAUGAACAUGAAGCGGGUGUCUCCGUUUGUGCUCACCAGUCUGGAAUUAGCGCUUUUCAUUACUGAUGGCUUAUAGGCUGACUGUUUUGCUGCCGGCUGGGGUCACAAUAAAAUGAUGUGUUUGCCAAAGGCAGAGAGGCUGGGUGGCUGGGGACUAAAUGGCCCAGUUAUGAAGAGCUGAGCUUAUCUCCCUCUCUGAAUCAACUCCUACCUCCAGCAAAACUAAACAUACCCCUCCUCCUGUGGGACAACAAACGAUCCCUAUUUUUUCCUUAAAAAUACAUAUAUUUCAUUUCGGGCACACUUUAGAUCUGAGCACAAACCAGCCUAUGAAUUGCUUCAUCAUUGUGCAACAAAAUGAAUAAAAGCUACAGCAUGACAGUUGGUUGAUUUGCUACGUUUCCAACAUUUCAAAGCUGGGAUGGCAGGGAUCACUCUUCCUUUUGUAAAAAGGAUUUUAUUUGAUUUUUUAACUGUAUUUCCCUCAAAAACAUAAUACAUCUAAAGAUCAUGUUCUUUAUUGAUUAGACCCCCACUGGGAUCACUAAGUAUGAUAUAAAGCCGUCACCAUAUGCUUGUGUUUAAAGUCCCCUCUUAGAACAUAAGCUUAAAAUGAGCUUGGAUUACGCUUUCUGUGGGGGAUCGUCACCACAGCUCCCGGCUGCCUUUAAUCAUACAAUGAAUAACAGCGAAUUAUAUCAGUGUUUUAAGGUGAAUAGUUGAAAUGAAUCGUACUGCUAUUAAAGGAUUUCCUUGAUGUGGCAGAUUUUAAGCUGGAUGUUGGCGUUACAUUCAUCUUAUUUUGACUGUUAACAUUUUGUUCUGAAAUUAACGAUAAUAUUUUGUUAACAUGACUUGUUUCAUUUUUGCUUUUUUAAUAUGCCAGCUGAAUUUGAGCAGUUCUGGAUUCUUUUUGGAUGUGGUGGUCUCAACAGUGUUUUUUAAGGGUUUCAUUCUUUCAACCAAAUUGAAAAGAAAAUGCUAUCAAACUAAAAAAAAGAAAAAAGAAGUCAAUGUCAUUGUACAGAACUGCUGUAUACAGUCACAGUUCUUUUAUUUUCUGUUAUCCUACAUCCACAAUCUGUGGGCUGUCAUGUAUACACAGAAAACACAGAACUUUACUGUAUAAUGCAGCUUCGUACUGAAUAGCCCUCAAUGACAAUUCUACAACAGUGUAAAACUAUUAAUUGCACAUACACCCAUAUAAUAUGCAAACUGGGAGAGAAAUGCCCAAAGCUUUCUUAGAGCUUCCCAUAUUUUCUGUCUUUUCCCCAAAGAUUUAUUAGACAUGGUUUAACUAACAGUAGGCAGGGAACUCCUCCUUGCUGGAUUAUAUAAAUCAUUUUCCAUUAACCAUUUUAAUGGAGAGAAGAAAUUCAAGGACACCCUCAAUGUUAAGAUUAUCACUUCAAAGACAAGCUGUUGACACUCUGGAAACUCUUAACGACGUAAUGAAUGAAUCAUGAGCUCGGGUUUUUGGUCCUCCUACCGGCAGUGUGGUCUGACCCUCAUUGUGCAGCAGUAGUUCUUACCUGGCUUUCACAUUGACCGGUGAGAAAGGCAUUACGCCGAAAUGUGUCUGUUGAGACGGUGAGGUACAAAGGGACUGUUGUCGGUCACCUUUGUUUCUUGAUCACCUGCCGUCGUCCUGAAUAACAAAAGCAUUAAAACGAGGAUGGACGUGGUAGAGGUCGGUCGGGAGACUGCACGUUCUUCUAGAUCUGGUGCAAUAUUAGCCAACCCAAAUGGAUUCACUGUUGCUGUCUUAUUGAGAACAUUUGCUGUCGAAUUUGCUGUCUGCCACAUGGCAAUAUAACCUAUAACCUAUUUCUUUGUUAUUCCAGUGUUUGUUAGAAAUUCUUUGGGUGAGGAUUACACAGGACUGUAGUUGUGACCUCACCAGUUAAAUCACAAUCAAGGUUUAAAACCCAAAAUAGUGUUUUUAUGCAGUUGUAUCAAUUAUGCUCUUUUGCUGCUUGAGGUUUAAAUCUAACACUAUUAUUCUGAAUGCUUGCUGGAUUAUUAAUGCAAUAAAAAAGAAAAAAAAAUUGUGAAUUACUGAACAGUUGUUCAUCUUUAGGCCUUUAACAAAAGAAUGAGAAGGAUGUCAUACACAAAUGCUGCUCGGGAUAUUUUGUUGCCGCACCAAGAUUUUAUUUCGUUUGGUGUGUGAGCAAGAAAGCAACUUGGUGGUUUCCUAAACAGAAAAGUCUGAGAAACCGUUUAGAAAAUGGCAAGUCAGGCACUCAAAAAAUGGUUAAACUUAACAAAUGCCUGCAGGUGAUUGGCUGAACCAUCUGUUGGGCAGGCUCUCAAGAAGCUAGUUAGGAGAUCAAGCUAAACAUCAUUUACACCAAGAAUAGCCUUCAUUGCCUUUGCUCUUCUGAAAUACUCCUCAAUUCUGACAUAACUGAUGCUCUUGCUGUAUCCACACCAACGUCGUUAGGAGCCACAAUUGGACAACAGCUGCCUCUCUGUUUCGUGCUACAGGUCACUGAUUGGCCAUAAAAUCUGUGUUUUGCACCAAAAGGAUACGCCUAAAAGGAUUCGCUUUUAUGUGAUUUCAUGAAAUCCAGACAGCAUCCAGGACACCCAAGAAAAGGUUUCGCAAACAUGUAGCAUUGGCCGUAUUAUGUUUUUCUUUGCCAGUUAUCCAAGCGCAUAUCUGUUGUGAACACAAAGAUAGUUCCAUCAUUCAAUGAAAUGCCUUGUUAGUUGUGAAUAGCUCAGCACUAAAUUGAAUUACUCCAAAGCAAGUGAACUUGACCUAAGUGGAAGCAUUUAAUGAGGACAAAACUCUCUAGGUGAUCAAUAUGAUCUUUCAAGUCAAACUCUAAAUGGAAUAUGCUCAGCAGGCUCCCUUAAAAAUGUCCAUACUUGGAUCCAAGUGGUUUCAUAAUCGAACAAACAACAAAAUCAGAAACUUUCAGUCCUUCUGAAACUUCUUUAAAGGCUCCCCACUAAAGUGAAAAAACAUUUAAUUUUUUUAAUUGAAUCCGCGGGAAACAUGAUUUUACAUUAAAAACGUAACGGGUUUGAAAUAAUCUGUGAAUGACCCUCCCAAUAAAUCAGAGAGCAGCCAACAUGCAGCCCUGGGAGCCGCUGGUCAAAGCCCUCAGACUGCUGUGCUCUGACUGCAGCUUAUAGUCUAAGGUCAGCACUGAACUCCCCCCCC
Molecule: long non-coding RNA, 5296 nt
Organism: Gasterosteus aculeatus aculeatus (three-spined stickleback)
Lineage: Eukaryota; Metazoa; Chordata; Actinopteri; Perciformes; Gasterosteidae
Source: Ensembl